AUCUUCUCUUGAAGCGGCGAAGCAUGCGUUGGGAACGAAUGUGGGAAAUCGGACGGACGUCGACAUCUGUUAAUGAAAUGGUGUCUUUCUGCGUGUGGCGUAGCAAUGGUGUCUUUCUGUGAAAAAUCUGAAACGGAAACUCCACUUUUUGGCUUCACUUUGUUCUUUUUGCUUGAGAGGUUAAAGGGAAUGUUCCUUCUCACCAGUAAUAUACAUGUCCAGUCCAUUUCAUU
Molecule: small RNA, 233 nt
Filed under: Vigna angularis var. angularis
Lineage: Eukaryota; Viridiplantae; Streptophyta; Magnoliopsida; Fabales; Fabaceae
Description: Non-protein coding transcript
Source: RNAcentral